GACGAACGCUGGCGGCGUGCUUAACACAUGCAAGUCGAACGGUAAGGCUCCAGCUUGCUGGGGUACACGAGUGGCGAACGGGUGAGUAACACGUGGGUGACCUGCCCUGCACUUCGGGAUAAGCCUGGGAAACUGGGUCUAAUACCGGAUAGGACCGCACCGUGAGGGUGUGGUGGAAAGUUUUUUCGGUGUGGGAUGGGCCCGCGGCCUAUCAGCUUGUUGGUGGGGUAAUGGCCUACCAAGGCGGCGACGGGUAGCCGGCCUGAGAGGGUGGACGGCCACAUUGGGACUGAGACACGGCCCAGACUCCUACGGGAGGCAGCAGUGGGGAAUAUUGCACAAUGGGCGGAAGCCUGAUGCAGCGACGCCGCGUGGGGGAUGACGGCCUUCGGGUUGUAAACUCCUUUCACCAUCGACGAAGGGUUUCUGGCGGUAGAUGGAGAAGAAGCACCGGCUAACUACGUGCCAGCAGCCGCGGUAAUACGUAGGGUGCGAGCGUUGUCCGGAAUUACUGGGCGUAAAGAGCUCGUAGGUGGUUUGUCGCGUCGUCUGUGAAAUUCCGGGGCUUAACUCCGGGCGUGCAGGCGAUACGGGCAUAACUUGAGUACUGUAGGGGAGACUGGAAUUCCUGGUGUAGCGGUGAAAUGCGCAGAUAUCAGGAGGAACACCGGUGGCGAAGGCGGGUCUCUGGGCAGUAACUGACGCUGAGGAGCGAAAGCAUGGGGAGCGAACAGGAUUAGAUACCCUGGUAGUCCAUGCCGUAAACGGUGGGCGCUAGGUGUGGGUUUCCUUCCACGGGAUCCGUGCCGUAGCUAACGCAUUAAGCGCCCCGCCUGGGGAGUACGGCCGCAAGGCUAAAACUCAAAGGAAUUGACGGGGGCCCGCACAAGCGGCGGAGCAUGUGGAUUAAUUCGAUGCAACGCGAAGAACCUUACCUGGGCUUGACAUAUACAGGAUCGCGCCAGAGAUGGUGUUUCCCUUGUGGCUUGUAUACAGGUGGUGCAUGGUUGUCGUCAGCUCGUGUCGUGAGAUGUUGGGUUAAGUCCCGCAACGAGCGCAACCCUUGUCUUAUGUUGCCAGCACGUUGUGGUGGGGACUCGUAAGAAACUGCCGGGGUUAACUCGGAGGAAGGUGGGGAUGACGUCAAAUCAUCAUGCCCCUUAUGUCCAGGGCUUCACACAUGCUACAAUGGUCGGUACAGUGGGUUGCCAGUCCGUGAGGGCGAGCUAAUCCCGCAAAGCCGGUCUCAGUUCGGAUCGGGGUCUGCAACUCGACCCCGUGAAGUCGGAGUCGCUAGUAAUCGCAGAUCAGCAACGCUGCGGUGAAUACGUUCCCGGGCCU
Molecule: ribosomal RNA, 1341 nt
Filed under: uncultured bacterium
Lineage: Bacteria
Description: partial 16S ribosomal RNA
Rfam family: Bacterial small subunit ribosomal RNA
Source: RNAcentral